RNAcentral lists this ribosomal RNA (470 nucleotides) under uncultured Sphingobacteriales bacterium. RNAcentral's name for it is "bacterial SSU rRNA". It matches the Rfam family "Bacterial small subunit ribosomal RNA", at positions 910 to 1382 of the family's 1533-position model. The record is from RNAcentral. Lineage: Bacteria; Pseudomonadati; Bacteroidota; Sphingobacteriia; Sphingobacteriales.
UUGACGGGGCCCGCACAAGCGGAGGAGCAUGUGGUUUAAUUCGAUGAUACGCGAGGAACCUUACCUGGGCUCGAACGUAAGAUGACUGUAGGUGAAAGCUUACAUCUCUUCGGAGCAUUUUACGAGGUGCUGCAUGGUUGUCGUCAGCUCGUGCCGUGAGGUGUCGGGUUAAGUCCCAUAACGAGCGCAACCCUACCUUUAGUUGCCAUCAGGUUAAGCUGGGGACUCUAAAGGAACUGCCUACGCAAGUAGUGAGGAAGGCGGGGAUGACGUCAAAUCAGCACGGCCCUUACGUCCAGGGCUACACACGUGCUACAAUGGCCGAUACAGAGGGCAGCUACCUGGUGACAGGAUGCAAAUCUCCAAAGUCGGUCUCAGUUCGGAUCGGAGUCUGCAGCCCGACUCCGUGAAGUUGGAUUCGCUAGUAAUCGCGCAUCAGCCAUGGCGCGGUGAAUACGUUCCCGGGCCUU